GGCUGGAAAGAUGGCUCAGUGGUUAAGAGCACUGACUGUUCUUCCAGAGGUCCUGAGUUCAAUUCCCAGCACCCA
This 75-nucleotide transfer RNA is filed under the name Mus musculus (house mouse). Its description in RNAcentral is "tRNA-Asn". The record is from RNAcentral. Lineage: Eukaryota; Metazoa; Chordata; Mammalia; Rodentia; Muridae.